UACGUAGGGGGCAAGCGUUGUCCGGAUUUAUUGGGCGUAAAGAGCGUGUAGGCGGUUCGGUAAGUCUGUCGUGAAAUCCUGAGGCUCAACCUUGGACGUGCGAUGGAUACUGCCGGGCUAGAGGAUGGUAGAGGCGAGUGGAAUCCUCGGUGUAGCGGUGAAAUGCGCAGAUAUCGGGAGGAACACCAGUAGCGAAGGCGGCUCGCUGGGCCAUUCCUGACGCUGAGACGCGAAAAGCUAGGGGGAGCGAACAGG
This 255-nucleotide ribosomal RNA is filed under the name uncultured bacterium. RNAcentral describes it as "partial 16S ribosomal RNA". It matches the Rfam family "Bacterial small subunit ribosomal RNA", at positions 524 to 776 of the family's 1533-position model. The record is from RNAcentral.